GGGGCUGUCUUGGCUUCGACAGGAAUACAAUGCCUUAUUUUGCAGGUCGACCGUUCACGUUAAGAACACAAAAAAAUAACUGGAAACAGAAAUAAUUUAGCUGUUGCAUACGCUUAAUUUAGCGGCACAGACUUCUCUAUUACUUUUGCUUACGAGUAAUAUAGAAGUUAAUAAAGUAAGCUAUAAUAUAUUCCAUUUCUAUAAAAUAUAUCGAAUUUAAUAGAAUAGUAAAUAUCAUUUUUGUUAAUUUAUAAAAUAUUUAUGAAAUAAUUAAAUUAACUAAACCUGUAGAUAAAUAUCGAUGAGUAUUUUUGGACAGGGGUUCAAUUCCCCUCAGCUCCACCA
RNAcentral lists this transfer-messenger RNA (345 nucleotides) under Bacilli. RNAcentral's name for it is "RUG705 sp900759875 Standard tmRNA". It matches the Rfam family "transfer-messenger RNA". Rfam says of the family: Bacterial tmRNA, also known as 10Sa RNA or SsrA, is named for its dual tRNA and mRNA-like properties. Lineage: Bacteria; Bacillati; Bacillota. The record is from RNAcentral. RNAcentral also lists the same sequence under 1 other name.